UGCCGCGUGUGUGAAGAAGGUCUUCGGAUUGUAAAGCACUAAAAGUUGGGAGGAAGCGCAGUAAGUUAAUACCUUGCUGUUUUGACGUUACCAACAGAAUAAGCACCGGCUAACUUCGUGCCAGCAGCCGCGGUAAUACGAAGGGUGCAAGCGUUAAUCGGAAUUACUGGGCGUAAAGCGCGCGUAGGUGGUUCAGCAAGUUGGAUGUGAUUUCCCCGGGCUCAACCUGGGAACUGCAUCCAAAACUACUGAGCUAGAGUACGGUAGAGGGUGGUGGAAUUUCCUGUGUAGCGGUGAUUUGCGUAGAUAUAGGAUGGAACACCAGUGGCGAAGGCGACCACCUGGACUGAUACUGACACUGAGGUGCGAAAGCGUGCCGAGCAAACAGGAUUAGAUACCCUGGUAGUCCACGCCGUAAACGAUGUCGACUAGCCGUUGGGAUCCUUGAGAUCUUAGUGGCGCAGCUAACGCGAUAAGUCGACCGCCUGGCGAGUACGGCCGCAAGGUUAAAACUCAAAUGAAUUGACGGGGGCCCGCACAAGCGGUGGAGCAUGUGGUUUAAUUCGAAGCAACGCGAAGAACCUUACCUGGCCUUGACAUGCUGAGAACUUUCCAGAGAUGGAUUGGUGCCUUCGCCUACUCAGACACAGGUGCUGCAUGGCGCUUCGUCAGCACACCUGUGUCUGAGUUUCCCGAAGGCACCAAUCCAUCUCUGGAUAGUUCUCAGCAUGUCAGGGCC
This 739-nucleotide ribosomal RNA is filed under the name Pseudomonas aeruginosa. Its description in RNAcentral is "bacterial SSU rRNA". It matches the Rfam family "Bacterial small subunit ribosomal RNA", at positions 395 to 1146 of the family's 1533-position model. Lineage: Bacteria; Pseudomonadati; Pseudomonadota; Gammaproteobacteria; Pseudomonadales; Pseudomonadaceae. The record is from RNAcentral.